RNAcentral lists this ribosomal RNA (806 nucleotides) under uncultured Glomus. RNAcentral's name for it is "SSU rRNA". It matches the Rfam family "Eukaryotic small subunit ribosomal RNA", at positions 314 to 1114 of the family's 1831-position model. Lineage: Eukaryota; Fungi; Glomeromycota; Glomeromycetes; Glomerales; Glomeraceae. The record is from RNAcentral.
AUCAACUUUCGAUGGUAGGAUAGAGGCGUACCAUGGUGGUAACGGGUAACGGGGAAUUAGGGUUCGAUUCCGGAGAGGGAGCCUGAGAAACGGCUACCACAUCCAAGGAAGGCAGCAGGCGCGCAAAUUACCCAAUCCCGACACGGGGAGGUAGUGACAAUAAAUAACAAUACGGGGCUCUUUCGGGUCUCGUAAUUGGAAUGAGUACAAUUUAAAUCCCUUAACGAGGAACAAUUGGAGGGCAAGUCUGGUGCCAGCAGCCGCGGUAAUUCCAGCUCCAAUAGCGUAUAUUAAAGUUGUUGCAGUUAAAAAGCUCGUAGUUGAAUUUCGGGAUUGGCGCAUCGGUCGUGCCUCACGGGGUAUGAACUGGUGCAGUCAAUUUCUCACCUUCUGGAGAACCGCGAUGUCCUUAAUUGGAUGCCGCGGGGAACCAGGACCUUUACUUUGAAAAAAUUAGAGUGUUUAAAGCAGGCAUUUUUGCUUGAAUACAUUAGCAUGGAAUAAUAAAAUAGGACGGCAUGGUUCUAUUUUGUUGGUUUCUAGGACCACCGUAAUGAUUAAUAGGGAUAGUUGGGGGCAUUAGUAUUCAAUUGUCAGAGGUGAAAUUCUUGGAUUUAUUGAAGACUAACUACUGCGAAAGCAUUUGCCAAGGAUGUUUUCAUUAAUCAAGAACGAAAGUUAGGGGAUCGAAGACGAUCAGAUACCGUCGUAGUCUUAACCAUAAACUAUGCCGACUAGGAAUCAGACGAUGUUAAUUUUUUAAUGACUCGUUUGGCACCUUACGGGAAACCAAAGUGUUUGGGUUC